UCUACUGAACAGUCAUGAGGAAAAUGCCAU
Molecule: non-coding RNA, 30 nt
Filed under: Cricetulus griseus (Chinese hamster)
Lineage: Eukaryota; Metazoa; Chordata; Mammalia; Rodentia; Cricetidae
Source: RNAcentral